UCUUUAGGUGAUUCUCAGCCACUUGGUAUUC
Molecule: non-coding RNA, 31 nt
Filed under: Mus musculus (house mouse)
Lineage: Eukaryota; Metazoa; Chordata; Mammalia; Rodentia; Muridae
Source: RNAcentral